Molecule: ribosomal RNA, 424 nt
Filed under: uncultured bacterium
Lineage: Bacteria
Description: partial 16S ribosomal RNA
Rfam family: Bacterial small subunit ribosomal RNA
Source: RNAcentral
AAUAUUGGACAAUGGGCGAAAGCCUGAUCCAGCCAUGCCGCGUGUGUGAAGACGGUCUUCGGAUUGUAAAGCACUUUAUGUUGGGAGGAAGGUGUCGAAGCUAAUACCUUCAACCUUUGACGUUUCCAACAGAAUAAGCACCGACUUACUCUGGGCCCGCCGCCGCGGUAAUACGAAGGGUGCAAGCGUUCAUCGGAAUUACUGGGCGUAAAGCGCGCGUAGGUGGUUUGUUAAGUUGGAAGUGAAAGCCCCGGGCUUAACAUGGGAAUUGCUUUCAAGACUGGCAAGCUAGAGUAUGGCAGAGGGUGGUGGAAUUGCCUGUGUAGCGGUGAAAUGCGUAGAUAUAGGAAGGAACACCAGUGGCGAAGGCGACCACCUGGGCUAAUACUGACACUGAGGUGCGAAAGCGUGGGGAGCAAACAGG